GGGCCCUUCCCGCUCACCCUUAGGCUCCUGGAGGCAAGGGUCAUAGGAAGGGGUUUUAAGGGUCAGUAGCCUGUCAGGUAGUCCAGCGUGGAGUCAGAGAAACUGGUUCAGGGGCCUGUCAGGUAGUCCAGCGUGGAGUCAGAGAAACUGGUUCAGGGGCCUGUCAGGUAGUCCAGCGUGGAGUCAGAGAAACUGGUUCAGGGGUCAGUGGCCUGUCAGGUAGUCCAGCGUGGAGUCAGAGAAACUGGUUCAGGGGUCAGUGGCCUGUCAGGUAGUCCUGCGUGGAGUCAGAGAAACUGGUUCAGGGGUCAGGGGCCUGUCAGGUAGUCCAGCGUGGAGUCAGAGAAACUGGUUCAGGGGUCAGGGGCCUGUCAGGUAGUCCUGCGUGGAGUCAGAGAAGCUGGUUCAGGGGUCAGUGGCCUGUCAGGUAGUCCAGCGUGGAGUCAGAGAAGCUGGUUCAGGGGUCAGUGGCCUGUCAGGUAGUCCUGCGUGGAGUCAGAGAAACUGGUUCAGGGGCCUGUCAGGUAGUCCAGCGUGGAGUCAGAGAAACUGGUUCAGGGGUCAGGGGCCUGUCAGGUAGUCCUGCGUGGAGUCAGAGAAACUGGUUCAGGGGUCAGUGGCCUGUCAGGUAGUCCUGCGUGGAGUCAGAGAAGCUGGUUCAGGGGUCAGUGGCCUGUCAGGUAGUCCUGCGUGGAGUCAGAGAAACUGGUUCAGGGGUCAGGGGCCUGUCAGGUAGUCCAGCGUGGAGUCAGAGAAGCUGGUUCAGGGGUCAGUGGCCUGUCAGGUAGUCCAGCGUGGAGUCAGAGAAACUGGUUCAGGGGUCAGGGGCCUGUCAGGUAGUCCUGCGUGGAGUCAGAGAAGCUGGUUCAGGGGUCAGGGGCCUGUCAGGUAGUCCUGCGUGGAGUCAGAGAAGCUGGUUCAGGGGUCAGGGGUCUGUCAGGUAGUCCAGCGUGGAGUCAGAGAAGCUG
Salmo salar (Atlantic salmon) is the source of this 968-nucleotide non-coding RNA. The record is from RefSeq and is a predicted model, not a curated record. NCBI's taxonomy places the organism in Eukaryota, Metazoa, Chordata, Actinopteri, Salmoniformes, Salmonidae.